Molecule: long non-coding RNA, 541 nt
Organism: Cimex lectularius (bed bug)
Lineage: Eukaryota; Metazoa; Arthropoda; Insecta; Hemiptera; Cimicidae
Exons: 4
Source: RefSeq, a predicted model, not a curated record
UCCUUAAUUAUAAAGCUAUUUUUUUAUAUUUUCAUAGGGAGAAUAAUCACGAUGAAUUCCUGAGCAAACAAUGAUAAAAGACACAUUUUGAGUCUCCUACGCUCGUCUAAUAAGAUGGAAAUCCGCUAAAGCCCCACCUCAUUGAUGCGAGCUUUUUCGUAUAUAACCGGCCCCUUGUAGACAAUCGACAUCCACAGUUCGCUACGAUCUCUGAGAGAAACAAUGAACGUAAAAAUCGCUGUUUGUUUAUUGUGUGUUUUGGCUAUUGUGAUGGCCGCGCCGACCAACUUUCAAGAUCAGUCAUCGGAUCUAUGGGCGGAUGGUUCUGUUGAAUACACCAUUGAUUUAGGAAAACAUCCCGUUCACGGACACAAGACUUUCUACAAGAAGUUUUACAAGCCAGAUAUCAUCAAGUACUUACUCACAUACCCGAAAUUCCCAUUGCACCCCUUACUCCCUGACCACCAUCACUAAAGGCACAAAACUGAACAUUGAAAAUGGCGUUAAAUUUUGUUAUACUUUUUGAUACUAUUUUUUAUAA